AACAAACGCUGGCGGCAUGCCUAACACAUGCAAGUCGAACGAGAUCUUCGGGUCUAGUGGCGCACGGGUGCGUAACGCGUGGGAAUCUGCCCUUUGGUUCGGAAUAACAGUUGGAAACGACUGCUAAUACCGGAUGAUGACGAAAGUCCAAAGAUUUAUCGCCAGAGGAUGAGCCCGCGUAGGAUUAGCUAGUUGGUGUGGUAAAGGCGCACCAAGGCGACGAUCCUUAGCUGGUCUGAGAGGAUGAUCAGCCACACUGGGACUGAGACACGGCCCAGACUCCUACGGGAGGCAGCAGUGGGGAAUAUUGGACAAUGGGCGAAAGCCUAAUCCAGCAAUGCCGCGUGAGUGAUGAAGGCCUUAGGGUUGUAAAGCUCUUUUACCCGGGAUGAUAACGACAGUACCGGGAGAAUAAGCUCCGGCUAACUCCGUGCCAGCCGCCGCCGUAA
This 449-nucleotide ribosomal RNA is filed under the name uncultured bacterium. RNAcentral's name for it is "partial 16S ribosomal RNA". It matches the Rfam family "Bacterial small subunit ribosomal RNA", at positions 29 to 523 of the family's 1533-position model. The record is from RNAcentral.